RNAcentral lists this transfer RNA (75 nucleotides) under Planctomycetes bacterium HGW-Planctomycetes-1. Its description in RNAcentral is "tRNA-Pro". It matches the Rfam family "tRNA". Rfam says of the family: Transfer RNA (tRNA) molecules are approximately 80 nucleotides in length. Their secondary structure includes four short double-helical elements and three loops (D, anti-codon, and T loops). Lineage: Bacteria; Pseudomonadati; Planctomycetota. The record is from RNAcentral.
CGGGGCGUAGCGCAGUUUGGCUAGCGCGUCGGACUGGGGGUCCGAAGGUCGCAGGUUCGAGUCCUGUCGCCCCGA